RNAcentral lists this small nuclear RNA (130 nucleotides) under Moniliophthora perniciosa FA553. RNAcentral's name for it is "U4 spliceosomal RNA". It matches the Rfam family "U4 spliceosomal RNA". Rfam says of the family: U4 small nuclear RNA (U4 snRNA) is a component of the major U2-dependent spliceosome. The structure of U4 snRNA from yeast and human has been reported. Lineage: Eukaryota; Fungi; Basidiomycota; Agaricomycetes; Agaricales; Marasmiaceae. The record is from Rfam by way of RNAcentral.
CUUUUUUGGCUUCGGCACGUACUAUCGCCAGUGAGGUCUUUACCGAGGCAUAGUCUUUUGCUGAUUGCAAAUUACACAUCCGAACCCGUCUGUUAGCUUCGGCUUUCAGCAAUUUUUGGACAACCCCCUC